Molecule: ribosomal RNA, 690 nt
Filed under: uncultured Gigaspora
Lineage: Eukaryota; Fungi; Glomeromycota; Glomeromycetes; Diversisporales; Gigasporaceae
Description: SSU rRNA
Rfam family: Eukaryotic small subunit ribosomal RNA
Source: RNAcentral
AAUUAGGGUUCGAUUCCGGAGAGGGAGCCUGAGAAACGGCUACCACAUCCAAGGAAGGCAGCAGGCGCGCAAAUUACCCAAUCCCGAUACGGGGAGGUAGUGACAAUAAAUAACAAUACAGGGCUCUUAUGGGUCUUGUAAUUGGAAUGAGUACAAUCUAAAUCCCUUAACGAGGAACAAUUGGAGGGCAAGUCUGGUGCCCGCAGCCGCGGUAAUUCCAGCUCCAAUAGCGUAUAUUAAAGUUGUUGCAGUUAAAAAGCUCGUAGUUGAAUUUCGGGGUUCUACCAUUGGUCGGGCAAUUGUCUGUACUGGUGUGUAGAAUUUCUACCUUCUGGGGAACCAUCAUGUUAUUAAUUUAGCGUGGUGGGAAACCAGGACCUUUACCUUGAAAAAAUUAGAGUGUUCAAAGCAGGCUUACGUCUGAAUACAUUAGCAUGGAAUAAUAAAAUAGGACGGUGGCCCUGUUUUGUUGGUUUCUGAAUCACCGUAAUGAUUAAUAGGGUUAGUUGGGGGCAUUAGUAUUCAAUUGUCAGAGGUGAAAUUCUUGGAUUUAUUGAAGACUAACUUCUGCGAAAGCAUUUGCCAAGGAUGUUUUCAUUAAUCAAGAACGAAAGUUAGGGGAUCGAAGACGAUCAGAUACCGUCGUAGUCUUAACCAUAAACUAUGCCGACUAGGGAUCGGACGAUGUUA